Molecule: long non-coding RNA, 5448 nt
Organism: Tribolium madens (black flour beetle)
Lineage: Eukaryota; Metazoa; Arthropoda; Insecta; Coleoptera; Tenebrionidae
Exons: 2
Source: RefSeq, a predicted model, not a curated record
GACCACCCACCACCAGCAACAAGUCUGCUAGUUUUAUCUGUUCUGUGUCCUUUAAUUUCCUUAGAAGAAAUGGAAAUAAAAAGUUCUGUGUGUCUAAUUGUGAUAGUCAAAGGCAGGUUGAACAAAAAUAUAAUUUCAUUUCCUUAUCCACAAACAAUACGGGCUAUUAGCAUAGAUUAAUAGGUUAAUCUGUGCUAUUAGUGUGACGUCACGCAGCCAUUUUGGUUGUACGAGUUGGAAAAUUUUCUACUCAUAAUUUUCCAGUUGUGUUAGCCUCCUAAAUCAAAUUCCAAAAGCACGGGUAUCAAUUUUGAGACAUUCUGUAUAAGGAAUCUGGGCUGGUGAACUCUAGAACUACUCUGAAGCCUUGUUGUCCAUCAACUUCAUCUUCGACUUGUUCUCUUGCCUCAUCGUCUCCUUGUUCAGACAUCUCCUCGUUGUUAUAAUAUUUUUUCGAGUUUGCUUUAUAAAAACCUCUCUUCAAAAAACUCAUAGGUUCUUUGAGACUCCACACUCGUUGUGAACUGUAAAACUGCUCUAGAGCCUUCUAAUUCCUCUUCAGCUUCUACUUCUUCAAACCAUCUCUUUCAUAAUUAUAAUUUUUGAGUUUUCUUUAUGAAGGAGUACCUAUCUUGAAAAAAGUCAUUCGUUCUCGACUUCUGAUGUAUUAUUUGAUGUACAAUGGCGAGCAUUAAUUUAGUAAUCAGUGUCAUUCCGUAAUAUACCUUCUUGUCAAAAUUACACAGGGAAACUACUUUUUUUUUGACAAAAAGAUGAAGUUCCAAAAUGACAUUACCUACCAAAAUUUUAUGCUCGCCACUGUACCUCUUAAAAACAGUUUCUAUAAUUUUGAAGCGUGCCUCUAAAUAUGGUUUUUAAUCAAAACUAAACAGGAUAUUCACAAGUUGAACUGUUGUUGAAGUUUUUAGUGGUGAAAACAGUUUAUAACUUUUUUGAAAAGUUUAUAACUUUUUUCAUCUAGUAUUCUUUUUUUUUCACUCACUACUUAUUAGGUUAGUUUUGUGGCAGUAAACGAUCUAAUUUAUGCAUAGUCCACUAAACUGAAUAAACACUCUUGACAUAUGCGAUGUCUUCAUGGGGUUUCUUUUUAGGUAAUAACUACGAGGGGCACUAGAAAAGUAAUCUACCAAAAGUAAUCUACCUAAUAAUUAAACAAAAGACGUACAAUUUUUUGAUAAUUUAUUUUUUCAAUAUAAAUCCCUCCCUACAUCAAUCAAUACACUUGCACAUUUCUCCUCUACUAAAAGUUUAUCUUUAUAAAAAAUAUAUWCUCUUGGCUCUCAAAAAAUUCGUUGUYGGCUGCUUUUAGGCCAUCAUCAGAGUCAAAACGGCGUUUUCUAAAAWUUUUCUUUUGUAAUCGAAAAAGAUAAAAGUUAGCGGAAGCAAGUCCGGACUAUAGAGAAGAUGGUAUGUCUUAACGAAGCWGCAAAGUUUGCUUAAUUUUGGCAGCCUUAUGCACGGUCGCAUUCCCAUGCAGCGAAAACACUUCUCAAUUAGAAAAAACUGAGUCUUCUGGUGAAUUGCUUUACGUAAAUUUUCAACGUGUUUGCAUAGAUGUCCACAUUUAUUGUUGUCUUUUCACACUUUCACUUCGGGGAUUCUCGAACCCAUCUUAACUGUUUCGGUAGUGGUUUCGGCUAAAAUUUUAUUGUGUAAUGUGAUAUAUAACGUGUGCCAUCCUUCUAGACGUCAUUCAUUCUCUCACGGAUUCUUUCUGGUUAAUGGCCCUCUUUUGUCAAAAAUUUUAUGGCAUUGCUUUACUCUAAUUUUAAGUUACUCAUUUUUCCUCAUAAUUUCCUUUAUAAAUAUGGAAACUAAUGAUCACAAUUAACUUAAAUUUUGCAGGUAAUGUUAGAUACUUGUUAUAUGGAUAUCAUAUAGAUGUAUUUUCACAAUAAAAUAACUGUCGAAUUUAUAAAAUGACCAACAUUAUUAACCAAAAGUCACUAAACAAUAAGCAUGCAGUUUAUUUACAACUUUAUAUUAUACUGAAGAGUAUAAAAUAAGUUACAAACUUAACAUUCGCAAUUUCAUAGAAGUUGUUCCCAAUUUUCUUUCGCUUUUGUGCCCUAAUCCGAGGAAGAAGUAUUUGGGGGCAUUAUUGCAUUUUCCAUUUUUUCACUGAAACAAAACAUAACAAUUAGUACAUAAUGUAACUUCUUCUUUGCAGUUUUUUUUUUUGACGUAUAUUGCCUAUCAUGUAAGAUGUAAGCGUCAUGUAUAGCUAGAGCAGAAAUUUAAAAAAUCACACGCUACAAAAUCUACUGCAAAACACUUGUUCAACUUUAUCUCACAUAAAAUGAAGUUUAUUGACAUUUGAAUUAACAAGUCAAUAAAUAAGUAAAAAAAUUAAAUAAAGGACUAGGCACACUUUAUAUGGGAAUUUAAGGGCCACUCAAAUUGGAUAAUUUUUAUAUCAAUCAAGGCGUCUCAAAAAGCUGAACAAAUCAUAUCAUUGCUCCAAACGUGUAAUUAGGAGGGCCGGAAAUUGCAAUCAAAGUCAAGAUAUAUCCCAUAAGAAAAGUCUUGUGUCCGCUUUUUGGUCUGUACAAAGAGCUUAUAAAUAUUGGAGAUUUGCAAUAUUGCCGUAUAACUAUAACUAGUGGACUGGGGUUCAGGUACAAAGACAUAAGACCACGAAUUUAGAAAUCGGUCUCCUUUGUAUUUAUUCUCUGUACAACCAUCCUAAAUAAGUAAAGACACUUUUAUGGAUAUAGGGAUUUAAGCGGACAGAAGUUAAUAACUCCAACAGUGGGAAUAAUCCAAAUUCAAUCGCGACUUCUGGCGUUCCUAAUCAAGAUACACGUUUGGCGCAAUGAUAUGAUUUGUUUAGUUUUUUGAGUCCCGUCGAUUGAUAUAAAAAUUAUCCAAUUUGAGCGGUUCUUAAAUUCCCAUAUAAAGUGUGCCUAAUCCUUUAAAACUGGUAGAGAUUGAAAGCUGAAACAUCCAAAGUUGAAGCUCUUUGAACCCAAAGUGUUAUUGUAAAUGUAGACAGCAUUAAAAAACUGAACUUUAACUUGAUGUUAUUACAAUAUGUCAUAACUUUUAUAAACUUAUAUGUAAAAAGCCAAAUUUAGCCGAUAUAAACUUCUUAUUUUUUGACUUAUACAAUUGUCAUAUUUAUUCCAGUUUUUUUAGGACCACCGAUGGUAUYUUCCUAGUAUCUUAUUUUACAUGGCAUUUUUCUCUGAAGUGCAAAUUCUGAAACUGUAUAAGAUAUGAAGCUGCAUUUUAUUACCUUGCAAAUUCUUCGAUAGCCUUGAAGGCCGCAUCCAAGUAGUUGGAGUUGGUAAAUUCCAAAUUUAUUCUAAAACCAUCAAUUUCUUCAACAUCCUCAACUGCCUCUCCUUCUUUUACCUCUUCGACUUCUUGUUCAGUUCUUUCCAUAGUUAUAAUUAUUUUGGUGUUCUCCUUUUCGUAGCCUCUUAUCACAUUUAAAGUAAUUUUAAUUAACGUUGUACGUGGUAAAAAGCGUAUUCGCUUUCGAGUCUGCACAAUUAUGUAUUUUCCCAUAAUCUUCAGGUAUGCAUCUACGUAUCUCGCCCCAAACAAGACAAACAGGCAAGGAAAUUCACUCGUUUGCAAGUUGAAAUGAUCUUUUCGACUGCUGAUAUUUCCGUCAGCCGUUAAGUUUUUGGGCUGAAUUAAAAAAAAAAUUAUCCAUGGUUGAUAACUUUCUUGGUUCACUAUAUACACACCUAGCAUACUGAUUUCAUUUCACCACUUAACCACUUAUUUUAUUAGUAGUUGUUAGGUUAGUUAUCUGCACGGGGAUCAGGGGUAUGAUAUAGAAAAGAGAGCCUCUAACAGGCCUCCGGACUCUUCCGUAAUACGAUGAAAAAAAAAACAGUAAAGGAUAAAAAACUAUAAACAACACAACUCGAUUAACAACGCCAACUUACGAAUCAAACAGCGUUGCGAUCGCAGUGGUCAAACGUCGUAGAGCAAAAUGUACUAAAUUUUAAACCAACUUUAUUAUUAUUAUUACUGAAAAAAAUGGUGAAUUAAUUCACCGAAUCUUCUAAAAAGCGAACAACCAAAAGGUGCCUGCAAAAUACGGCGUGAAUAUAAAAAAAUUUGCUUGCACUCUUCAUUACUAUUCUCCGCGUGCUUAUAACUAUGUCAGAAUACAGUUGCACGACAGUUUACCACAUGAAAAAACAUUAGCGCGAUGGUAUUCGGCAGUGAAUGGUUCAUUGGAACAAGAGUACCUUUUUUAUAAAAAAAUAAUUGCACUUUUGAUUUUUGGCAUGAAAAAUACGUGUUAAUAGGCUGAGAAAAAGAGUUAUGACCCAAAAACUGUAAAGGUCCCAUUGUCACCGGAAAUUUAUAGCUUUUACAAGACUUCCGUUUACACCAUAUCAAAAAGUGUGUUUUUGUCCCUUGACAUGCAAAGUUUCAUAAUAAUGGGAUAAACGAUAAUAAAAAUAUUUCCAAAAAAUCAUUUUUCGUACCGAUUUUUGGAAAGCUGUAAUUUUUCUAUUUUUUGAGGUAGGUUAGUAAAUUUUGUGCUAUCUGUUCUUAUUUGUAGAGGAGUAUUCGUGGUUAAAAUUAUGCCACACAUUUUUGAAACAUCCGAUAUAACGUCCUUGGUCAAUUCAUAGUGGCCAUUUAAUUUAUUUCAAAGUUGGCAGGCUCUACCCCGUCACCUCUAGUUUGUUGGUUGUGUCUAUGUUGGCAUCAGAAGAAACUAAAUUGUGUCAACAAUUGUGAAAGGCGCAGUAGAUUUUGGUAUUAUAGAUAUUUCAAAAUAUAUUGAUAUUUUUAACUUAAUAAUUUUGGACUUAAAAAAUCAAAUUGUAACCAGAGACCCAAAGUAGUCCAAAAUUAUUUCUUUAGUACUUUUCCUUUUAUCUCCAUUGUUGUUUACAAGAUUUUGAAAUAGAUAUUAUUACAAAAUCAUGUUUUCCUUAUUAUAAUUUAUAACAUUAUAACUAAUUUGUGAAACACUUAAUCAAUGUCUAGUAUUAAAUAAUAAUUCUUGUUAAGAUAAUAACUUACAAAAACAGUUAUCUUCGUAACAAGUAUCGUAGGUACUUUCCUAGAAAUUAAAUUAGAGAAUUUUUGCAAAUCGUAAAAAAAUUUAACGUAUUACGACAAAUGGCCGUUGCUAAGAAAUUAAAAAAUAAGACGUUUACGUAAACGUCUUUGAAUUGACGGAAUACGCCUUUCGCCCUUGACAAGACAAUUAAAUGACGUUGUCGUUAAGGUUAACGUUAAAUUAAACGAUUUGCAAAAACUCUCUAAUGACUUUUCAGAACUAUUACAAAAGAACGAUAAAUUAAUAUUCCUCCCAACAGGGAAUAAAGUGAUGCUUUAUUUUUAUUCCCUCCUUUUUGAUUAAUAAACUGGAACUUUAUUCUCUGUAGAAUAAAAUGAAAAUGUAAUACCGAUUUUUACUCUAAAAUAAAAUGGAAUUGAAACUUU